UUGGGUGGWYAGUGGCGAACGGGUGAGUAACAGUGAGCAACCUGCUCUGACUCUGGGAUAAGCGCUGGAAACGGCGUCUAAUACUGGAUACGAGUAGCGACCGCAUGGUCAGUUACUGGAAAGAUUUAUUGGUUGGGGAUGGGCUCGCGGCCUAUCAGCUUGUUGGUGAGGUAAUGGCUCACCAAGGCGUCGACGGGUAGCCGGCCUGAGAGGGUGACCGGCCACACUGGGACUGAGACACGGCCCAGACUCCUACGGGAGGCAGCAGUGGCGAAUAUUGCACAAUGGGCGCAAGCCUGAUGCAGCAACGCCGCGUGAGGGAUGACGGCCUUCGGGUUGUAAACCUCUUUUAGCAGGGAAGAAGCGAAAGUGACGGUACCUGCAGAAAAAGCGCCGGCUAACUACGUGCAC
RNAcentral lists this ribosomal RNA (411 nucleotides) under Microbacterium sp. RNAcentral describes it as "bacterial SSU rRNA". Lineage: Bacteria; Bacillati; Actinomycetota; Actinomycetes; Micrococcales; Microbacteriaceae. The record is from RNAcentral.